GAUGAACGCUGGCGGCGUGCCUAAUACAUGCAAGUCGAGCGAACAGACGAGGAGCUUGCUCCUCUGACGUUAGCGGCGGACGGGUGAGUAACACGUGGAUAACCUCCCUAUAAGACUGGGAUAACUUCGGGAAACCGGAGCUAAUACCGGAUAAUAUAUUGAACCGCAUGGUUCAAUAGUGAAAGACGGUUUUGCUGUCACUUAUAGAUGGAUCCGCGCCGCAUUAGCUAGUUGGUAAGGUAACGGCUUACCAAGGCAACGAUGCGUAGCCGACCUGAGAGGGUGAUCGGCCACACUGGAAGUGAGACACGGUCCAGACUCCUACGGGAGGCAGCAGUAGGGAAUCUUCGGCAACGGGCGAAAGCCUGACGGAGCAACGCCGCGUGAGUGAUGAAGAUCUUCGGAUCGUAAAACUCUGUUAUUAGUGAAGAACAAAUGUGUAAGUAACUAUGCACGUCUUGACGGUACCUAAUCAGAAAGCCACGGCUAACUACGUG
RNAcentral lists this ribosomal RNA (497 nucleotides) under uncultured bacterium. Its description in RNAcentral is "partial 16S ribosomal RNA". It matches the Rfam family "Bacterial small subunit ribosomal RNA", at positions 28 to 507 of the family's 1533-position model. The record is from RNAcentral.